RNAcentral lists this ribosomal RNA (503 nucleotides) under uncultured bacterium. RNAcentral describes it as "partial 16S ribosomal RNA". It matches the Rfam family "Bacterial small subunit ribosomal RNA", at positions 30 to 523 of the family's 1533-position model. The record is from RNAcentral.
AUUGAACGCUGGCGGCAGGCUUAACACAUGCAAGUCGAGCGGGGUGAUGGUGCUUGCACUAUCACUUAGCGGCGGACGGGUGAGUAAUGCUUAGGAAUCUGCCUAUUAGUGGGGGACAACAUCUCGAAAGGGAUGCUAAUACCGCAUACGUCCUACGGGAGAAAGCAGGGGAUCACUUGUGACCUUGCGCUAAUACAUGCGCCUACGUCGGAUUAGCGAGUGGGUGGGGUAAAGGCCUACCAAGGCGACGAUGUGUAGCGGGUCUGAGAGGAUGAUCCGCCACACUGGGACUGAGACACGGCCCAGACUCCUACGGGAGGCAGCAGUGGGGAAUAUUGGACAAUGGGGGGAACCCUGAUCCAGCCAUGCCGCGUGUGUGAAGAAGGCCUUAUGGCUGUAAAGCACUUUAAGCGAGGAGGAGGCUCUUUUGGUUAAUACCCAAGAUGAGUGGACGUUACUCGCAGAAUAAGCACCGGCUAACUCUGUGCCAGCCGCCGCCGUAA